This 374-nucleotide ribosomal RNA is filed under the name uncultured bacterium. Its description in RNAcentral is "bacterial SSU rRNA". It matches the Rfam family "Bacterial small subunit ribosomal RNA", at positions 30 to 413 of the family's 1533-position model. The record is from RNAcentral.
AUUGAACGCUGGCGGCAUGCCUAACACAUGCAAGUCGAACGGGGUGUAGCAAUACAUCUAGUGGCGGACGGGUGAGGAAUACAUAGGAAUUUGCCCUUAAGUGGGGGAGUAGUCCGGGAACGUCGGUUUAAUACCGCAUGAUCUCGUGAGAGCAAAGCAGGGGACCGGCAAGGCCUUGCGCUUUUGGUAGAAGCCUAUGUCGGAUUAGCUAGUUGGUAGGGUAAUGGCCUACCAAGGCAACGAUCCGUAACUGUCUGAGAGGAUGAUCAGUCACACCGGAACUGAGACACGGUCCGGACUCCUACGGGAGGCAGCAGUGGGGAAUAUUGGACAAUGGGCGCAAGCCUGAUCCAGCAAUGCCGCGUGUGUAGAAG